Non-coding RNA from Amborella trichopoda, 197 nucleotides. Lineage: Eukaryota; Viridiplantae; Streptophyta; Magnoliopsida; Amborellales; Amborellaceae. The record is from Rfam.
AUACCUUUCUCGGCCUUUUGGCUAAGAUCAAGUGUAGUAUCUGUUCUUAUCAGUUUAAUAUCUGAUACGUGGUCCAUAGGAUCACACGAUAUUAAAUUAAUUUUUCAGUGGGGAAAGGGCUACCACACUAGCUCGCUAGUCGGUCCCUUGAGCGCCGUCCAUGCGUUGCACUACUGCACGGGCCUGGCGCACCCCUA